GGGGCUGUAGCUCAUCUGGUAGAGCACAACAUUCGCAUUGCUGAGGUAAGGGGUUCGACUCCCCUCAGGUCC
This 72-nucleotide transfer RNA is filed under the name Erysipelotrichaceae bacterium. RNAcentral describes it as "tRNA-Ala". It matches the Rfam family "tRNA". From Rfam's summary of the family: Transfer RNA (tRNA) molecules are approximately 80 nucleotides in length. The record is from RNAcentral. Lineage: Bacteria; Bacillati; Bacillota; Erysipelotrichia; Erysipelotrichales; Erysipelotrichaceae.